RNAcentral lists this unclassified non-coding RNA (232 nucleotides) under uncultured fungus. Its description in RNAcentral is "sequence contains ITS1, 5.8S rRNA gene". The stretch from base 184 to 232 matches the Rfam family "5.8S ribosomal RNA", at positions 1 to 49 of the family's 154-position model. The record is from RNAcentral. Lineage: Eukaryota; Fungi.
UCUCCGUAGGUGAACCUGCGGAGGGAUCAUUACUGAGUGAGGGUUUAACCGCCCGACCUCCAACCCUUUGUGAAUCGUACUCGUUGCUUCGGGGGCGACCCUGCCGUCCGCGGCGCCGGCGCCCCCGGAGACCAUCAAACACUGCGUCAAUUUGCGUCGGAGUCUUGAUUAAAAUCAAAACAAAACUUUCAACAACGGAUCUCUUGGUUCUGGCAUCGAUGAAGAACGCAGC